Molecule: ribosomal RNA, 443 nt
Filed under: uncultured bacterium
Lineage: Bacteria
Description: partial 16S ribosomal RNA
Rfam family: Bacterial small subunit ribosomal RNA
Source: RNAcentral
CCUACGGGAGGCAGCAGUGGGGAAUAUUGGGCAAUGGAGGAAACUCUGACCCAGCAACGCCGCGUGAAUGAUGAAGGUCUUCGGAUUGUAAAGUUCUUUUCUAAGGGAAGAAGAAAGUGACGGUAGCUUAGGAAUAAGCCUCGGCUAACUACGUGCCAGCAGCCGCGGUAAUACGUAGGAGGCGAGCGUUAUCCGGAAUGACGGGGCGUAAAGGGUGCGUAGGUGGUGCGGCAAGUUAGUAGCGUAACUCCAAGGCUCAACCUUGGAACUAUUGUGGAAACUGUUGGUCUUGAGUGCAGGAGGGGCAACCGGAAUGCCUAGUGUAGCGGUGGAAUGCGUAGAUAUUAGGAGGAACACCAGUGGCGAAGGCGGGUUGCUAGACUGUAACUGACGCUGAGGCACGAAAGCGUGGGGAGCAAACAGGAUUAGAUACCCUUGUAGUC